CCUACGGGGGGCAGCAGUGGGGGAUAUUGCACAAUGGGGGAAACCCUGAUGCAGCGACGCCGCGUGUGGGAAGACGGUCCUCUGGAUUGUAAACCACUGUCCCCAGGGACGAAGAUGACGGUACCUGGGGAGGAAGCUCCGGCUAACUACGUGCCAGCAGCCGCGAUAAUACGUAGGGAGCGAGCGUUGUCCGGAAUUACUGGGUGGAAAGGGAGCGUAGGCGGGGAAGCAGGUUGGGUGUCAAAACUACCGGCUCAACUGGUAGUCGCACUCAAAACUGCAGCUCUUGAGUGAAGUAGAGGCAGGCGGAAUUCAUAGUGUAGCGGUGAAAUGCGUAGAUAGUAGGAGGAACACCAGUGGCGAAGGCGGCCUGCUGGGCUUUUACUGACGCUGAGGCUCGAAAGUGUGGGGAGCAAACAGGAUUAGAUACCCGAGUAGUC
Molecule: ribosomal RNA, 440 nt
Filed under: uncultured bacterium
Lineage: Bacteria
Description: partial 16S ribosomal RNA
Rfam family: Bacterial small subunit ribosomal RNA
Source: RNAcentral